Molecule: transfer RNA, 69 nt
Filed under: Eospalax fontanierii baileyi (plateau zokor)
Lineage: Eukaryota; Metazoa; Chordata; Mammalia; Rodentia; Spalacidae
Description: tRNA-Asp
Source: RNAcentral
AAGAUAUUAGUAAAAUAAUUACAUAACUUUGUCAAAGUUAAAUUAUAGGUUAACGACCUAUAUAUCUUU